This 496-nucleotide ribosomal RNA is filed under the name uncultured bacterium. RNAcentral describes it as "partial 16S ribosomal RNA". It matches the Rfam family "Bacterial small subunit ribosomal RNA", at positions 28 to 507 of the family's 1533-position model. The record is from RNAcentral.
GAUGAACGCUGGCGGCGUGCCUAAUACAUGCAAGUCGAGCGAACAGACGAGGAGCUUGCUCCUCUGACGUUAGCGGCGGACGGGUGAGUAACACGUGGAUAACCUACCUAUAAGACUGGGAUAACUUCGGGAAACCGGAGCUAAUACCGGAUAUAUAUUGAACCGCAUGGUUCAAUAGUGAAAGACGGUUUUGCUGUCACUUAUAGAUGGAUCCGCGCCGCAUUAGCUAGUUGGUAAGGUAACGGCUUACCAAGGCAACGAUGCGUAGCCGACCUGAGAGGGUGAUCGGCCACACUGGAUCUGAGACACGGUCCAGACUCCUACGGGAGGCAGCAGUAGGGAAUCUUCCGCAAUGGGCGAAAGCCUGACGGAGCAACGCCGCGUGAGUGAUGAAGGUCUUCGGAUCGUAAAACUCUGUUAUUAGGGAAGAACAAAUGUGUAAGUAACUAUGCACGUCUUGACGGUACCUAAUCAGAAAGCCACGGCUAACUACGUG